AUAAUAGGGUUUAGGGUUUAGAGUUUAGGGUUUAGGGUUUAGAGUUUAGGAUUUAGGGUUUAGAGUUUAGGAUUUAGGGUUUAUGGUUUAGGGUUUAGAGUUUAGGGUUUAAGAUUUAGGGUUUAGGGUUUACAGUUUAGGGUUUAGGGUUUAGAGUUGAGAAAUGAGGUUUUGGGGAUAAGAUUUCAAAUUUUGAAAAAUAAAAAAAUUAAAAUUUUCAAAUGAUAAAUUUAGAAAGGUGCUAUUUUGGUCAUUUUAGUUUUUGAAUGCUAUUUUU
RNAcentral lists this long non-coding RNA (277 nucleotides) under Brassica napus (rape). RNAcentral's name for it is "long non-coding RNA (BNAP_LNC011396)". Lineage: Eukaryota; Viridiplantae; Streptophyta; Magnoliopsida; Brassicales; Brassicaceae. The record is from RNAcentral.